This is an RNA transcript of Camelus dromedarius (Arabian camel), 6572 nucleotides long. It is a transcript of the gene named E3 ubiquitin-protein ligase HERC2-like, with no coding region annotated. The record is from RefSeq and is a predicted model, not a curated record. The transcript has 20 exons. NCBI's taxonomy places the organism in Eukaryota, Metazoa, Chordata, Mammalia, Artiodactyla, Camelidae.
CCGCGCGGGGCGCCCCGCCCCCUUUUACGACAGCUCUGAACGCGCCCCGCCUUCUGUGUCAUCCGGUAGGAGACUAGCUCCGCCCCUCCGAGGAGGCUCCCGCGUUGGCACCGCCCCUUACCCUGCUACCGGGCCCACACCACCUCAGAGGCGUAACCCGACAGCCUCCAGAUCGCGAGAUUUCUUAGAAGCCCUUCCCGGCCCGCGCGGGGGCGAGGACUGAGGCCUCGCCCCGCCUUGGAGUUUAGACCGUGGUCCGGAGCGCAGGUGCCCAGCCCUGAGUUGGGUACCACUGAUGGAGGAUGCUGAUUCAGAAUGUACACGACCUCCUGGAGAACCUUGCCCCUACCCUGCCAUGUGCUGCAACUUAGAUGGCCUGUGACUCAGUCACCAAAAGGUAGCUCAGAUGAAUAAAACAGUGGAAGUUCUGGGUAUUCCACCUGCUCAUAUCCUUGACCAAGCACCAAAAGCAAGAAAGUUCUUCGAGAAGUUGCCAGAUGGCACUUGAAACUUAAAGAAGACCAAAGAUGGAAAAUGGAAAUAAAUUUUUAACAACAAAAAAAUCAAAUCCAUAACCAAACGAUUACGUUGUGACGGAUGCACUAGGGGUUCUAACCGAGUGUAAACCACCGGGAACCCGUAAACUUCAUAAUAUUCUUGGAGCAGAAACAGGAGGACCUGGUGGGCGUCGUGCUGGGGAAUCGGGUCAUACAUAGCUGACUGCUUGAAGUCCAAAGACCUCAUUUUAAGGAUGCUUGAUUAUGACCCCAAAGCUCGAAUUCAACCUUACUAUGCCCUGCAGCACAGUUUUUUCAAGAAGACAGCUGAUGAAGAUACAAACACGAGUAAUAGCGUGUCCACAAGCCCCACCGUGGAGCAGUCGCAGUCUUCGGGCACCACCUCUAGUACGUCUUCAAGCUCAGGUGGAUUGUCGGGGACGAGCAGCAGUGGGAGAGCCAGGUCGGACCCGACGCAGCAGCAGCGGCACAGCGGCAGGCACUUCACCGCCGCUGUCCAGGCCAUGGACUGCGAGACGCACAGCCCGCAGGUGCGUCAGCAAUUUCCUGCUCCCCUUGGUUGGUCAGGCACUGAAGCUCCCACACAAGUCACUGUUGAAACUCAUCCCGUUCAAGGAACAGCCUUUCAUGUAGCCCCUCAACAGAAUGCAUUGCAUCAUCACCAUGGAAACAGUUCCCAGCACCAUCACCACCACCACCACCAUGGACAACAAACCUUGGGUAACCGGACCAGGCCAAAGGUCUACAGUUCUCCAACAAAUAGCUCCUCUACCCAGGAUUCUAUGGAGGUUGGCCAUUGUCACCACUCCAUGACAUCCCUGUCCUCCUCAACUACUUCUUCCUCCACAUCUUCCUCCUCUACUGGCAAUCAAGGCAGUCAGACCUAGCAGAACCGCCCAGUGGCUGCUAAUACCUUGGACUUCGAACAGAAUGGAGCUAUGGACGUUAAUUUAACCAUCUACUCCAAUCCCCGCCAAGAGACUGGCAUAGCUGGACAUCCAGUGUACCAGUUUCCUGCUAAUACAGGUCCUGCACAUUACCUGACUGAAGGACAUCGGACAGUGAGGUUGGGGGUGGGACAUUUGGAUUUUUUAAGUCCUCCAAACACACUUGGUCACGGAAACGCAGUCCUGUCAGGAAGAGGGACCUCCAGCUCAUGCAGCAUCCAUCACCCUCAGCUGUAUGGAAGGGAUGGUGGUAUUGGUGUUUGAAAGGCAUGGGGGAAGGGGGAUUCCUUCAGGCCGGGCCGUGGCUCUGACGUGCCCGUGAGGAAGCCACAGGUGGUGGAAGGGCUGAGCGGAAAGAAGAUUGUGCACGUGGCCUUCGGGGCCCUGCACUGCCUGGCGGUCACUGAUGCAGGGCAGGUAUAUGCUUGGCGUGACAGUGACCAUGGGCGACAGGGCAGUGGUACAACCAUGGUUAAUAGAAAGGCCACACUCACACAAGGCUUAGAAGGCCAGAAGAUCACACGAGUGGCCUGUGGGUCUUCGCACAGCGUGGCACGGACGACGGUCAAUGUGGCAACACCCUCUGUCCACGAGCCCGUCCUCUUCCAGACUGCGAGGGACCCCUUAGGUGCUUCCUAUUUAGGCGCAGAAGGCCUCAGGGUGGAGUCUGGCCGGCAGGGCUCAACAGACCGGCGCCACGACCCUCUCACAGUCAUGGAUGGCGUCAACCGGAUCGUCUCCAUGCGGUCAGGUGGGAGGGGAGGUUGAGGUGCCUUUGUAGAACAGAAGAGUGACCAUUACUGAACAGAGUGUUACCACUUCAUUCUCACGUGAGAUUUCAGGAAGGGACAAUACGUGAUUACCCACAAAAUACAGCAGAUUUUAUCUGCCAGUACUUUCAGUAAGAUCAUUAUCCAACGGAUGUUAGUACCUCACUCACCACUGAUGGGUGGGACUCCUGGGUGACCGGUGUGAGAGCAGGUCCUUGUUGGGGGCACAGGCCGUCCAGGAGGCCGGCCUUACCCAGACAGUGGAGAUGGUGCUGGAAAGAGUGUGGGAGGGCCAGGCUCGUGCUACAGAGCUUCUUAAGGGGAUUUGUUUUUUAAUUGAUGCUGUGAGGGCAUGGGCUCCACACGGAGUGUGCGCUCUGUGCGUGGGGAGGACAGAGCGCUGGGGUAGACGGGAGCGGUCACCUGCGGGCCUCUCCCUGCUCUGCUGACAGGCUCCCCGUGGCUGAGCAGGGGUUGAGUCCCUCUGUACCGGGUCUUAUUAAAUGCUCUCUCACGGGGCUUUUUAGAAUCAUCAGUGCAGGUAUUUGUAUGUGCGUGCGAUCUCUUCAGACUAUUUUUAUCCUUCAUCUGGAGCAAGUGUCUGCUAAUGUUUCCUGGCAUAACUGCGCCCCUCUGCCUUUGUAGCAGAGGCAGCCGCAGCCUGAAUAUAAAUGAUUGGCCUGGCUGUGUCCCAGUGAAAUUUUCCUCGCAAGACAUUACUUCGGAUGAAGGAUGUGGUCACAGAUGAGCAUGGCUUUCUUUCCGGCAUUUCGACAAAUGUCAAUGUGGUUUUAGUCAUGUUGGGAGAUGUGCCUGGUGUCUCUGCUUCCAGCCGGAUCCCUUCCGAGCCACUCCCAGCCCGCUGCCUGGUGGCCCUUCUAAGUAGAAGCCUGGUUGGGGUGGCGCACUGCAGCCCUGUCUGUCUGCUCCCCAGGCUCUGGCUGGGCUGCGCCAUCCUCCUGAAGGUGGCUCUUCCAUGCUGAGCUGCCCCUGUGCCCAGGCCUUUGCAUACUUGCACCCUCUUUGGGAAAGGCUGGGGCUUUCUCAUCCAUUGCAUGGGAACCACUGUCAUGUCAGACCUUCCCCAGGAAGCCUCCCCGUGGCCCCUGACCUGGCUGUGGGCAGAGGCUGGCUCUGCAGGCCCCUCACACAGCAUCAUGGGUGCAUGUGAGUAUCUCCCUUGGGGCGUUGCCUGCCUGCUCCCUGCUUCCCCACUUUUUGGCGCAGGGUGUGUUGAGGGCACAGUGUGAACGCAUGUGAGGAGUGGGCUGGAGGAGCCAGCUGUGCUCCAGACAGGGCGCAAAUGACUCUGGGUCUAAAGAAGUCGAUGUUGAUCUGAUGGUGGGCGAACCCCACACCAGUGUUGUUCGCUCUCCCAGGCUAGGAGUGGUCCAACUGGUCCAGCGAGCUGCGCAUCCCAGGGGACGAGCUGAAGUGGACGUUCAUCAGCGAUGGGUCUGUGAACGGGUGGGGCUGGCGCUUCACCGUCUACCCCAUCACACUGGCCACGGGCCCUAAAGACCUCCUUUCCAAUCUCUGCGUCCUCUCCUGUCCAUCGGUGGACUUGGUGACAUGUCUGUCGGACUUCCAGCUCAACCUUGCCUCGAACAGAAGCACCAUCCCCUGCCUGGCGGCAUCUCUGGCGGCCUGUGCGCAGCUGAGCGCCUUAGGUCCUUCCAUUCCCCUGGAUGUUCUCUCAGCAUCAAACUCCUCCUCUCAGCUGAUGGUGAAGUGGAACCCGCCCUCUCUGCCCAGCAGCAGCCUGAGUUCCUACAUCGUGCAGUGGUGGCACCUGCCUCAGGACAGCUGCCUUCACGGCACAACUGCUGCCCCAAAGACAAAAUCCCCAUCAGGAAGUAGGCCGAUGGCAUCAUCAAUGGCGAGGAGGUGAUGGAGAAUCUCAAGACCAAACUGUGGUGGCGAGAAAGGGCUGUGCUGCACUUGUCCCAAAACCAAGGCUGAGAAGCAAGCCGAGAAAGAGGAGGCCGAGGGCUGCAAGAUCUUCAAGAAUUCCCUGCACAACGCCGUCUUCAUGCCCAGUACCUGCCCUCUGAGGAUGACUCCAGGCGGGGUCUGGUGCUGUCUCACCACCCUGGUCUUUGUAGGUCAGCAGCCUCAAGACCCAAAAGGAAGCAGAGGGAGCCAUGCAGGCUGCCAGCACCACCAUAUCCAGCUGAAACAGGAACACCGCGGUGGUGGACACCUACAACACUGCAGACCCGGAAGAGCUUGAGACGUAGUACUGUUUCUUCGAAAGCAGAGUGUACAAGGAGAGAACUGUAAUCUCUAACUUCUGGCCUUUCGUUUUGUACCGCAUCAAUACCCACAGCUGUAACCACGAGGCUGAGAAGCUGGGCUGCAGCGCCUCCAACUUUGUCUUUGAGAGAACCGUGCCUGCAGUUGUUGCACAGAGGAAGCAGAUGACGUUCCUGGACCGGUGACCUGGGAGCCAAGGUCUGAGAGCUCCAUCUUUUUAAAGUGGCCAGAACCUGGGAAUCCCUGUGGAGCGAUUCUAAUCUAUGAGAUAAAACGUGGACCACACUCGAGGAUCAGCGGGGAUGUGUGUCCAGACAGGAGCACAGGAAGUGUGCAGGGGCCAAGCUGAGCCGGCUCACCAGGGGAGCUACACGGCCCGGAUCCAGGCCACCUCUCUCUCUGGCAAUGGGUUGUGGACCAAUCCUGUGUUCUACGUCCAGGCCAAAAGGCCAAGGAACUUAGAGCACCCGGGGAGAAGGCCAGAUUUGGUGUUGGAAUAGGAAAGCUUGGAUCUGCUGCAGACUAGCUGAGUGCUUCCAGGGGCCUCAGCAUCCUCGUCUCUGAAGUGGGGAAAUGCUGCCCUCCGGCUUGGGGAUUAGAGAAUUCUGGGAAAGGGCCCGGCUCACGGUGUUGGCCCCUGCCGUCCCCGCACCUGGAAUGUUGUCCUUCUGGCAUCGCUCUGGAGCCCAGCUCAAGUGGACUUAACUCUCAUCCCACAGUGGCAGAACCAAGUACCUGCAGCGGAGACAGCAUGGCUCCAAAGCCUCAAAUAGUCACUAGCUUGCUCUUGGAGAAAGUGUUUGCCGACCCCCAGUCUAGACUGAAAAUCCAGAAGGACUCUUCCCUUCAAAGGAAGGUUUGGGCACCUGUGUGCUUGAAAAUUCUUGGGGAUUUUUCUCCCAGUGGAAGACCCCCAGGCAUGCCUGGUUCCUCUUUGGCCCCCCCAACCUCGGCAUCAGCCGGGAGGCAGGGGGACACCUGAGGGGCCUCAUCCCUCUUAACCCAGCCUGGAGCAGCUCCAAGCUCCAUCCCCCGUUCUGGGCCCAGCCAGAGAUCCCCUGCCUUGUCCACAAAGCCCCUGUCCUGCUUGACUUCACAGUUCAGGUCACAGUCCAGGGCUGUGUCUGCAAGGGGAGGGCAGAGGGUAAGUCACCACGGGGUUCCCAGGAACCCAACACAGGCCCAUGGCCUCCACCUUCUAACCUGUCUUAGGACCCACCUGGGGCCAGGCAGACAAGUCAUUUCCAAGAAGACAGUGCCCAGAGGUGGGAGCAUCUGGAGCCCCCCACCCUGGGCCUUGGGGAGGAAGAAGGGUCAGAGCAAAGGUCAACUGCUGCCCCCUCCAGGAAGCCUUCCAUGAACUCUAUUCUGCAUCGCUACAGCCCUCGCUGUCUAGGUGCGCCCUGUACGGAGCCCGGGUCGCCCUGGACGCCCUUGGUCUGUGUGGAGCUGCUUCAUCUCCUUGGGAUGGGGCAGUGAGCCUGGACUCUGGUGUCAGUCGUGGAUGUGAAUCUGGGCUGGCGCCUGCUGGCUGUGUGGCUUCUCUGAGCCUCAGCUUCUUCCCAGUUCCCAAACCUCUUCCCACCUUCUUGACCUUUCUCCCUAGAAGCGUGGGGAGAUUUUAUAAUACCGGUGAAACAUUCAAGGGGGAGAGAGAGACUCUGAGAGAAGACCCCCAGCCCCCAGUAUAGAGAAUUUGAAAUGAUUUUUAAUCAUGUGAAAUGACACCUGAUCACCAUGCAACAGGGCAUGAAUCUCACAAACAGAACAUGAGGCAAAAGAAGUCCAGCCCCAAAGGACGUGUGUAAUAUGAUUCCAUCCAUAGAAAAUUCAAAUAUAGACCAAAGUAGACUGUAUGAUUUGGGUGUACAUAUUCAGAUGAUAAAACCAUAAAGAAAAGCAUGAAAUUCUCAUCACAAGAUAGCAGUUACCUCUGUGGGAGGGAGGGGCUGUGGUCAGAGGGGAGCUUGGGGGCAGGGUGUGCUUUGGGGAGCUGGUCACAUUCCAUGUUGUUUCUUGACCUUGCUCAAGUGUUUGCUUUGCAUCUAUUCAUUAAUAGAUACACACACAUAAAAUAAAGC